This 1952-nucleotide long non-coding RNA is filed under the name Cotesia glomerata. RNAcentral's name for it is "uncharacterized LOC123258556". Lineage: Eukaryota; Metazoa; Arthropoda; Insecta; Hymenoptera; Braconidae. The record is from RNAcentral.
GCGGCACAAAUUUUUUUUUUUUUACUUACUCCUUACUUUUAAUAUUAAUUUUGAAUUUGAAUUUUCCCGGGUAAAAGAAAAAGAUGGCGGUUGCGUCCGAGAGUGAUCGCUUGAUGUGACAUACUGUUGUGUCACUUCAUUAUUUACACCGAGCAAACGACGUUAUAUAUUUUUUGUCUGGUGUAACAUAACAAAAAAUCAUGCAAUAUUAUUAUAAGGUUAUUUGUAGUGAAAAUUAAAAAUAUAUGUUACGGUGGAUUUUAUAAUUAUUAUGUACAAUUACAUAUACAAUUACGUCCUCAAUAAAAUUUAUGCAAAUAAUUGUAAAAAACAAAUCAUAUUGAUUAUUAAAAGAAAAUUUCCAGCUGAAAUCCAAAUAAAAGCUUCCAUUCACGCUAAAGUCCAUCAGAUAAAAGCUCACAGUUCAGAUAAUAUUAUAUUCACGCUAAAUGUCUACUCCAAAUUAUCUUAGAUUAUAACUCACGCUAAGUACCCGCUAAAUACACGCUAGUGUCCGAUUGUCCUCAGCCAAAAAUGAUAUGGUUGGAUGUCGCUACAUCAAAUAAUAAACCGGAAAUUGUUGCACAUUAUUUUUUAAAAGCGGUACAAAAAUUAAAGUUACUCCCAACUUUAACUCGAUCAGAUUGUGGUACAGAAAAUUGUAUUGUUGAAGCUCUUCAGCAAAGUCUACGUUUUCAUCAUGAUGAUAAUUUAGCUGGUUGGAAAAGUUUUAUUAAAGGCAAAAGUACGUCUAAUCAGCGUAUAGAAAGUUAUUGGUCUCAACUUAGACGUCAUGGUUUGGAUUUUUGGAUCGAUUAAUUUAAAGAUUUACGCGAGAGAGGUCUUUAUAAUGAUUCAUCAAUAUUACAUGUUGAAUGUUUACGCUUCUGUUUUGGGCAUUUAAUUAGAGCUGAAUUGAAAAUGAUUCGUCAUGAGUGGAAUCGGCAUCGUAUAAGAAAACAAAAAAGUCGUCAUAUAGCUCCAGAAAAACCAAAUUGUUUGUAUUAUCUUCCUGAAGUAAUUGGGGCAAGUGAUUACAAGAAACCAAUUGAUGAAAAUGCUGUUAAUAUUCUCAAAUCUGAUUAUACUCUGGAACCUAAAUUGUACAAUGAAUUGUUUUGUCAAUUGGUAUGCGCGGGGUAUUGUCCCCAGGUGCGAUGCAUCCAGCAUUCGCGACUCGAAUGGGAUUCCCUGGUGGACCAAUGCUAACGCCGAUGAUGCAUCCACGCUUCAGAUGAUCACCUCAAGCUAACGGGCCUAAUCUAUCACUGCACUUUGUGCUUUGGGCCCAGCCCUGACUUGGUCUCAAGUGAAAAAUUUACUGACUCAAAUCAAUAAUAUAAUUAUAUGUAAUAUAAUUACUAUGCAAGAGCCGUUGGUUUAAAUUUUCAAAAAACCGAAAAACGACUUUCAUGUGCAAAGUCAAAAUAUCAACGCUACUGAUUCUCAGUUAACACGAAGUUAGCAAAAGCCUUUUCUUUUUUUUGUUUUUAAUUAAUUAAUUAUCGAAUUAAAUAUUGUUACACUAAACAGCAUCUGGAAGUAACAAUCUGUCAUUAAUAAGCGUAAAAAGUAAUUCCAAAUAUCGAAAUAUUUUUUUUUUAUAUUUUUUCUUUGAUAACAAAUCGAUCAUUUUAUUAAAUAAAACGGAAUAAAUUCUGUUAAAUUAUCGUUACUAUUACGUUCAAAUCUAAUAAUUAAAUUGAAAAUAUUAAUAUUUAUGUGCUGUAAACAAGUGUACGUACAAAAACUACGCAUUGUUAAAAUUAUUUAAUUUUACAAAUUGUCUUUUUGAAUAACAAAGAAUUAAAAUUUUUAAUUCAUCUUAUUUUCAAAUUAAAUAACAAUAAAUUUAAACGAUUCAGUAAGACAAUCUGAAUUAUAAAAAAAAAAAAUAAGUUAUGGAUAUUCAGUGAGUGUCGCCGACAAUAUUUAUCUUUUUUAAAUUUUUU